UUUAUGCGGCAGCAUAGGACUGAACUGUGGGAGAACUUAUAUGAUUCUACCCCUUUUCAUACUUAUGCUGCUUCAGAG
Molecule: microRNA precursor, 78 nt
Filed under: Haemonchus contortus (barber pole worm)
Lineage: Eukaryota; Metazoa; Nematoda; Chromadorea; Rhabditida; Trichostrongylidae
Description: mir-5890 microRNA precursor family
Rfam family: mir-5890 microRNA precursor family
Source: Rfam by way of RNAcentral